GUGAGGAAUAUUGGUCAAUGGACGCAAGUCUGAACCAGCCAUGCCGCGUGCAGGAAGACGGCUCUAUGAGUUGUAAACUGCUUUUGUACGAGGGUAAACUCGGAUACGUGUAUCCGUUUGAAAGUAUCGUACGAAUAAGGAUCGGCUAACUCCGUGCCAGCAGCCGCGGUAAUACGGAGGAUUCAAGCGUUAUCCGGAUUUAUUGGGUUUAAAGGGUGCGUAGGCGGUCGGAUAAGUUAGAGGUGAAAUCCCGAGGCUCAACUUCGGAAUUGCCUCUGAUACUGUUCGGCUAGAGAGUAGUUGCGGUAGGCGGAAUGUAUGGUGUAGCGGUGAAAUGCUUAGAGAUCAUACAGAACACCGAUUGCGAAGGCAGCUUACCAAGCUACUUCUGACGUUGAGGCACGAAAGCGUGGGGAGCAAACAGGAUUAGAAACCCUAGUAGUCC
This 445-nucleotide ribosomal RNA is filed under the name uncultured bacterium. RNAcentral's name for it is "bacterial SSU rRNA". It matches the Rfam family "Bacterial small subunit ribosomal RNA", at positions 354 to 796 of the family's 1533-position model. The record is from RNAcentral.